AUACGGGAGGCAGCAGUGGGGAAUCUUGCGCAAUGGGCGAAAGCCUGACGCAGCGACGCCGCGUGUGGGAUGAAGGCCUUCGGGUCGUAAACCACUGUCGCGAGGGACGAAUACAUUGACGGUACCUCGAAAGGAAGCACCGGCUAACUCUGUGCCAGCAGCCGCGGUAAUACAGAGGGUGCGAGCGUUGUCCGGAAUCACUGGGCGUAAAGGGCGCGUAGGUGGCCAUGUAAGUCGGGGGUGAAAUGCUGCGGCUCAACCGCAGCGCUGCCUUCGAGACUGCAUAGCUUGAGCACGGUAGAGGCCGAUGGAAUUCCCGGUGUAGCGGUGGAAUGCGUAGAGAUCGGGAAGAACACCAAUGGCGAAGGCAGUCGGCUGGGCCGUUGCUGACACUGAGGCGCGACAGCGUGGGGAGCAAACAGGAUUAGAUACCCUUGUAC
This 440-nucleotide ribosomal RNA is filed under the name uncultured bacterium. RNAcentral's name for it is "bacterial SSU rRNA". It matches the Rfam family "Bacterial small subunit ribosomal RNA", at positions 339 to 793 of the family's 1533-position model. The record is from RNAcentral.